UGGGGACGACGUCAAAUCAUCAUGCCCUUUAUGUCCUGGGCUACACACGUACUACAAUGGCCGUUACAACGGGAAGCGAAGGAGCAAUCCGGAGCAAAUCCCUUAAAGGCGGUCCCAGUUCAGAUUGUGGGCUGAAACUCGCCCACAUGAAGGCGGAAUUGCUAGUAAUCGCGGAUCAGCACGCCGCGGUGAAUACGUUCCCGGGCCUU
RNAcentral lists this ribosomal RNA (209 nucleotides) under uncultured Paenibacillus sp. RNAcentral's name for it is "partial 16S ribosomal RNA". It matches the Rfam family "Bacterial small subunit ribosomal RNA", at positions 1174 to 1382 of the family's 1533-position model. Lineage: Bacteria; Bacillati; Bacillota; Bacilli; Caryophanales; Paenibacillaceae. The record is from RNAcentral.